This 253-nucleotide ribosomal RNA is filed under the name uncultured Actinomycetales bacterium. RNAcentral's name for it is "partial 16S ribosomal RNA". It matches the Rfam family "Bacterial small subunit ribosomal RNA", at positions 79 to 334 of the family's 1533-position model. Lineage: Bacteria; Bacillati; Actinomycetota; Actinomycetes; Actinomycetales. The record is from RNAcentral.
UUUGUGGGGUGCUCGAGUGGCGAACGGGUGAGUAACACGUGAGUAACCUGCCCUUGACUUUGGGAUAACUUCAGGAAACUGGGGCUAAUACCGGAUAGGAGCUCCUGCUGCAUGGUGGGGUUGGAAAGUUUCGGCGGUUGGGGAUGGACUCGCGGCUUAUCAGCUUGUUGGUGGGGUAGUGGCUUACCAAGGCUUUGACGGGUAGCCGGCCUGAGAGGGUGACCGGCCACAUUGGGACUGAGAUACGGCCCAG